This 301-nucleotide ribosomal RNA is filed under the name uncultured bacterium. RNAcentral describes it as "partial 16S ribosomal RNA". It matches the Rfam family "Bacterial small subunit ribosomal RNA", at positions 509 to 808 of the family's 1533-position model. The record is from RNAcentral.
CAGCCGCGCGGGAAUACGAAGGGGGCUAGCGUUGCUCGGAAUCACUGGGCGUAAAGGGUGCGUAGGCGGGUUUCUAAGUCAGGGGUGAAAUCCUGGAGCUCAACUCCAGAACUGCCCUUGAUCCUGGAAGUCUUGAGUAUGGGAGAGGUGAGUGGAACUGCGAGUGUAGAGGUGAAAUUCGUAGAUAUUCGCAAGAACACCAGUGGCGAAGGCGGCUCACUGGCCCAUAACUGACGCUGAGGCACGAAAGCGUGGGGAGCAAACAGGAUUAGAUACCCGAGUAGUCCCUGUCUCUUAUACC